ACGCUAGCUACAGGCUUAACACAUGCAAGUCGAGGGGCAGCAUCAUCAAAGCUUGCUUUGAUGGAUGGCGACCGGCGCACGGGUGAGUAACACGUAUCCAACCUGCCGACAACACUGGGAUAGCCUUUCGAAAGAAAGAUUAAUACCGGAUGGCAUAAUUAUUCCGCAUGGGAUAAUUAUUAAAGAAUUUCGGUUGUCGAUGGGGAUGCGUUCCAUUAGGCAGUUGGCGGGGUAACGGCCCACCAAACCUACGAUGGAUAGGGGUUCUGAGAGGAAGGUCCCCCACAUUGGAACUGAGACACGGUCCAAACUCCUACGGGAGGCAGCAGUGAGGAAUAUUGGUCAAUGGACGAGAGUCUGAACCAGCCAAGUAGCGUGAAGGAUGACUGCCCUAUGGGUUGUAAACUUCUUUUAUACGGGAAUAAAGUGAGCCACGUGUGGCUUUUUGUAUGUACCGUAUGAAUAAGGAUCGGCUAACUCCGUGCCAGCAGCCGCGGUAAUACGGAGGAUCCGAGCGUUAUCCGGAUUUAUUGGGUUUAAAGGGAGCGUAGGCGGGUUGUUAAGUCAGUUGUGAAAGUUUGCGGCUCAACCGUAAAAUUGCAGUUGAUACUGGCGACCUUGAGUGCAACAGAGGUAGGCGGAAUUCGUGGUGUAGCGGUGAAAUGCUUAGAUAUCACGAAGAACUCCGAUUGCGAAGGCAGCUUACUGGAUUGUAACUGACGCUGAUGCUCGAAAGUGUGGGUAUCAAACAGGAUUAGAUACCCUGGUAGUCCACACAGUAAACGAUGAAUACUCGCUGUUGGCGAUAUACAGUCAGCGGCCAAGCGAAAGCAUUAAGUAUUCCACCUGGGGAGUACGCCGGCAACGGUGAAACUCAAAGGAAUUGACGGGGGCCCGCACAAGCGGAGGAACAUGUGGUUUAAUUCGAUGAUACGCGAGGAACCUUACCCGGGCUUAAAUUGCAACUGACGGAACCGGAAACGGUUCUUUCUUCGGACAGUUGUGAAGGUGCUGCAUGGUUGUCGUCAGCUCGUGCCGUGAGGUGUCGGCUUAAGUGCCAUAACGAGCGCAACCCUUACGGGUAGUUACCAUCAGGUUAUGCUGGGGACUCUACCCGGACUGCCGUCGUAAGAUGUGAGGAAGGUGGGGAUGACGUCAAAUCAGCACGGCCCUUACGUCCGGGGCUACACACGUGUUACAAUGGGGGGUACAGAAGGCAGCUACACGGCGACGUGGUGCUAAUCCCAAAAGCCUCUCUCAGUUCGGAUUGGAGUCUGCAACCCGACUCCAUGAAGCUGGAUUCGCUAGUAAUCGCGCAUCAGCCACGGCGCGGUGAAUACGUUCCCGGGCCUUGUACACACCGCCCGUCAAGCCAUGAAAGCCGGGGGUACCUGAAGUACGUAACCAAAAGGAGCGUCCUAGGGUAAAACUGGUGA
Molecule: ribosomal RNA, 1436 nt
Filed under: uncultured organism
Description: SSU rRNA
Rfam family: Bacterial small subunit ribosomal RNA
Source: RNAcentral